GACAGAGGGGGCAAGCGUUGCUCGGAAUUACUGGGCGUAAAGGGCGCGUAGGCGGGAUGGCAAGUCGGUCGUGAAAUCCCUCGGCUCAACCGAGGAACGUCGAUCGAUACUGCUGUUCUUGAGGAUUGCAGAGGAGACUGGAAUUCCCGGUGUAGCGGUGAAAUGUGUAGAGAUCAGGAGGAACACCUGCGGCGAAGGCGGGUUGCUGGGCCGACACUGACGCUGAAGCGCGAAAGCCAGGGGAGCGAACGGG
Molecule: ribosomal RNA, 253 nt
Filed under: uncultured bacterium
Lineage: Bacteria
Description: partial 16S ribosomal RNA
Rfam family: Bacterial small subunit ribosomal RNA
Source: RNAcentral